Molecule: small nuclear RNA, 144 nt
Organism: Drosophila mauritiana
Lineage: Eukaryota; Metazoa; Arthropoda; Insecta; Diptera; Drosophilidae
Product: U4 spliceosomal RNA
Exons: 1
Source: RefSeq, a predicted model, not a curated record
AUCUUUGCGCAGAGGCGAUAUCGUAACCAAUGAAGUUCUACUGAGGUGCGAUUAUUGCUAGUUGAAAACUUAUAAAAAAUAAGUAUUGCAUACUUUUGAAAAACUGAAAAAUUUCAUUGCAUUUUUUUUUUUUUUUUCAAACAA